UCCCGGUUGGUGUAGCAGGCAGCACCGCGGAUUUUGGAUCCGCUGGCCCAGGUUCGACUCCUGGACCGGGAG
Molecule: transfer RNA, 72 nt
Filed under: Amycolatopsis sp.
Lineage: Bacteria; Bacillati; Actinomycetota; Actinomycetes; Pseudonocardiales; Pseudonocardiaceae
Also listed under: 3 other names
Description: tRNA-Gln
Rfam family: tRNA
About the family: Transfer RNA (tRNA) molecules are approximately 80 nucleotides in length.
Source: RNAcentral